UGGACAGAAAGACCCUAUGAAGCUUUACUGUAACUUGAAAUUGAAAUUGGACUUUAUUCGCGCAGUAUAGGUGGGAAGCUUUGAUGAUAUUCUUGUGGGAAUAUUGGAGCUAUCAGUGAGAUACCACUCUUGUAAUGUUAGAUUUCUAACUUUGUACCAUUAGCUGGUCAAAGAACAGUUUCAGGCGGGCAGUUUGACUGGGGCGGUCGCCUCCUAAAUGGUAACGGAGGCGUACAAAGGUUUCCUCAGAUCGGUCAGAAAUCGAUCGUAGAGUGUAAAGGCAGAAGGAAGCUUGACUGUGAGACCUACAAGUCGAGCAGGGACGAAAGUCGGUCUUAGUGAUCUGACGGUACUGAGUGGAAAGGCCGUCACUCAACGGAUAAAAGUUACUCUAGGGAUAACAGGCU
Molecule: ribosomal RNA, 407 nt
Filed under: uncultured eukaryote
Lineage: Eukaryota
Description: bacterial LSU rRNA
Rfam family: Bacterial large subunit ribosomal RNA
Source: RNAcentral